UGAGAUUUCUCAUCUUUUUCUUGAAUGAGCCUCUCUUUCACUCACUUCUCUUCCUCCAGCGUUCUACUAUCCAGCCUUUCAUGUGGUGACUCAGCCCAUCACCAUGGCUUUACCAUAGGAGCCAGCCAGAGAUGCCGCUCUGUUUUCCUCAUCCACGGGACUUGAAGAACUGGAGGGUGGGGAGUGAGAAGAGAACAGGGGAUGCCCUUCAUUCCUCUCUGGCCGGAGAACACCUUUUCACCCUGAUGAGAAUAGUUCCAGCUGUGCUGUCAUUUGAACAACUCGUGCAGCUUUGUAAAAUCCAACACAUGCAAAUGUAAGUAGCAAAACAGUGUUUCUCCAUCGUCCAACUAUACACCACUCAAAUGGAAUGUAGCCGUGCGUCCAGCUGGGGUAUGAGAGCCCAGCAGCAGUAGCCAUGCUGACCCUGUGUAAUGACGGUAAGUGGAUUACAAGGAGGCCCUGGCCACUGGUCAUUAAUAUUGAGUCUGCUAAAGUUACCUCCAUGUGGCAGCAGCUACACCACAGGGACUGAGCCCAGGACCUCCAAGAUACCUGAGAAGCUCAUUUCUCUGUACAGGGCCUCAGAUGAGCUGACAGCCUUCUGCAACUGGAAGCUUUAAAAAGGACCUCAGAAAG
Long non-coding RNA from Thunnus maccoyii (southern bluefin tuna), 639 nucleotides. RefSeq lists it as uncharacterized. NCBI's taxonomy places the organism in Eukaryota, Metazoa, Chordata, Actinopteri, Scombriformes, Scombridae. The transcript is spliced from 3 exons. The record is from RefSeq and is a predicted model, not a curated record.